AACGAACGCUGGCGGCAGGCCUAACACAUGCAAGUCGAACGGAAACUGCAGGCUUAUUGGCGGACGGGUGAGUAACGCCUGGGGAGAGAGCCAUGUCUACGGAAUAGCCCUGGGAAACUGGGGAUAAUACCGAAAAGGCACUUAAUGGGAAAGAUUUAUCGGGGAAGAAUGAGCCGGCGUUGGAUUAGGUAGUUGGUGGGGUAAUGGCCUACCAGGCCGACGAUCCAUAGCUGGUAUGAGAGGAUGAUCAGCCACACUGGGACUGAGACACGGCCCAGACUCCUACGGGAGGCAGCAGUGGGGAAUCUUAGACAAUGGGGGCAACCCUGAUCUAGCCAUGCCGCGUGAGUGAUGAAGGCCUUAGGGUUGUAAAGCUCUUUCAGCUGGGAAGAUAAUGACGGUACCAGCAGAAGAAGCCCCGGCUAACUCCGUG
Molecule: ribosomal RNA, 433 nt
Filed under: uncultured bacterium
Lineage: Bacteria
Description: partial 16S ribosomal RNA
Rfam family: Bacterial small subunit ribosomal RNA
Source: RNAcentral